GACGAACGCUGGCGGCGUGCUUAACACAUGCAAGUCGAGCGGUAAGGCCCUUUGGGGUACACGAGCGGCGAACGGGUGAGUAACACGUGAGUAAUCUGCCUUUGGCUUGGGAAUAACUUCGGGAAAUCGGGGCUAAUGCCUGAUGUUUACUGUCUGCUGCAUGGUGGGUGGUGGAAAGAUUUUUUGGCCAGGGAUGAGCUCGCGGUCUAUCAGCUUGUUGGUGGGGUAAUGGCUUACCAAGGCUUUGACGGGUAGCCGGCCUGAGAGGGUGUUCGGCCACACUGGGACUGAGACACGGCCCAGACUCCUACGGGAGGCAGCAGUGGGGAAUAUUGCGCAAUGGGCGCAAGCCUGACGCAGCGACGCCGCGUGGGGA
RNAcentral lists this ribosomal RNA (376 nucleotides) under uncultured bacterium. Its description in RNAcentral is "bacterial SSU rRNA". It matches the Rfam family "Bacterial small subunit ribosomal RNA", at positions 28 to 407 of the family's 1533-position model. The record is from RNAcentral.